This 1044-nucleotide ribosomal RNA is filed under the name Triticum aestivum (bread wheat). RNAcentral's name for it is "partial small subunit ribosomal RNA". Lineage: Eukaryota; Viridiplantae; Streptophyta; Magnoliopsida; Poales; Poaceae. The record is from RNAcentral.
AUGGCUCCAAGAUUGCUCGUCGUUCUUCCAGUGGUGCUGCUUGGUUUGGCCUUCCAGGCCAUUCUCCGGCCACCACAUACAAAACGUUGCGGCUCGGUAGGUGGACCUCCGGUGACAUCUCCCAGGAUCAAGCUCAGGGAUGGGAGGUACCUCGCAUACCGGGAAGACGGUGUGCAGAGAGACAAGGCCAAGUACAAGAUCAUCACAGUGCAUGCAUUUGAUAGCACCAAGGACUUCCCCUCGCCUGUUUCCAAGGAGCUCGUGGAAGAACUGGAAAUUUACCUACUUGCAUUUGAUAGAGCAGGGUACGGGGAAAGUGACCCAAACCCCGGUCGGAGUGUCAAAAGUGAAGCCUUGGAUGUAGAGGAGCUCGCCGACCAGCUGGAGCUUGGACAGAAGUUCCAUGUCUUGGGUGUCUCCAUGGGAGGAUACACAGUUUGGGGUUGCCUCCAGUAUAUACCUCACAGGCUCGCAGGAGCCGCGCUAGUUGUACCAGUUAUCAAUUACUGGUGGCCUUCUUUCCCGCCAGAGGUGUCCAGGCAGGCUUUCAAGAAGCUCAUUGUACCAGAGCAGAGGACCCUCUGGAUCGCACACAAUGCACCUUACUUUUUAUACUUGUGGAUGACCCAGAAAUGGCUCCCUUCUUCUGCGGCAGCCAUGCAUCAUCCUGAAAUAUUUAGCGACCAUGAUAUGGAGGUGAUUCAGAAAAUGAUGGCAAUGCCGAGAACCAUUGAGAAUAAAUCAAGGCAGCAAGGAAUUUAUGAAUCAAUCCAUCGAGAUUUACUUGUUGCUUUUGGGAAUUGGGAGUUCGAUCCAAUGAAUAUUACAAAUCCAUUUCCUACAAAUGAGGGUUCUGUACACAUCUGGCAAGGAUAUGAAGAUAGGUUGGUGCUGGUUGAGCUGCAGCGGUACCUUUCAAAGAAGCUUCCAUGGAUCCAGUAUCAUGAAGUCCAAGAAGGUGGACAUAUGUUCAUGCUGGUGGGCGGAUGGACCGAUAAAAUUAUCAAGGCACUCUUGGUAGGAGAAGAGGCAUCACCUAUGUGA